Molecule: ribosomal RNA, 375 nt
Filed under: uncultured bacterium
Lineage: Bacteria
Description: bacterial SSU rRNA
Rfam family: Bacterial small subunit ribosomal RNA
Source: RNAcentral
UAAUACGUAGGGGGCAAGCGUUGUCCGGAAUCACUGGGCGUAAAGCGCGCGCAGGCGGCGAUCUACGUCCGGGGUGAAAGCCCAGAGCUCAACUCUGGGAUUGCCUUGGAUACGGGAUCGCUUGAGGAUCGGAGAGGCAAGGGGAAUUCCACGUGUAGCGGUGAAAUGCGUAGAUAUGUGGAGGAACACCUGUGGCGAAGGCGCCUUGCUGGCCGAUUUCUGACGCUGAGGCGCGAAAGCGUGGGGAGCAAACAGGAUUAGAUACCCUGGUAGUCCACGCCGUAAACGAUGAGUGCUAGGUGUUGGGGGGUACCACCCUCAGUGCCGAAGCUAACGCAUUAAGCACUCCGCCUGGGGAGUACGGUCGCAAGACUG